RNAcentral lists this ribosomal RNA (253 nucleotides) under uncultured bacterium. Its description in RNAcentral is "partial 16S ribosomal RNA". It matches the Rfam family "Bacterial small subunit ribosomal RNA", at positions 524 to 776 of the family's 1533-position model. The record is from RNAcentral.
UACGUAGGGUGCGAGCGUUGCCCGGAUUUAUUGGGCGUAAAGGGCUCGUAGGCGGCCUGUCGCGUCGGGAGUGAAAGCCCACUGCUUAACGGUGGGUCUGCUUCCGGUACGGGCGGGCUGGAGUAUGGCAGGGGAGACUGGAAUUCCUGGUGUAGCGGUGGAAUGCGCAGAUAUCAGGAGGAACACCGGUGGCGAAGGCGGGUCUCUGGGCCAUUACUGACGCUGAGGAGCGAAAGCGUGGGGAGCGAACAGG